RNAcentral lists this ribosomal RNA (231 nucleotides) under uncultured bacterium. RNAcentral's name for it is "partial 16S ribosomal RNA". It matches the Rfam family "Bacterial small subunit ribosomal RNA", at positions 15 to 240 of the family's 1533-position model. The record is from RNAcentral.
GAUCAUGGCUCAGGAUGAACGCAAGCGACAGGCUUAACACAUGCAAGUCGAGGGGCAGCACAGGGUAGCAAUACUUGGGUGGCGACCGGCGCACGGGUGAGUAACGCGUAUGCAACUUACCUAUCAGAGGGGGAUAGCCCGGCGAAAGUCGGAUUAAUACCCCAUGAAACAGUGGUCCCGCAUGGGAAUAUUUGUUAAAGAUUCAUCGCUGAUAGAUAGGCAUGCGUUCCA